Molecule: non-coding RNA, 48 nt
Filed under: Schistosoma haematobium
Lineage: Eukaryota; Metazoa; Platyhelminthes; Trematoda; Strigeidida; Schistosomatidae
Source: RNAcentral
AUCCAACUGACGAGUCCCAAAUAGGACGAAACGCGCACCAAACUGGAU